Molecule: ribosomal RNA, 541 nt
Filed under: Bifidobacterium longum subsp. suillum
Lineage: Bacteria; Bacillati; Actinomycetota; Actinomycetes; Bifidobacteriales; Bifidobacteriaceae
Description: bacterial SSU rRNA
Rfam family: Bacterial small subunit ribosomal RNA
Source: RNAcentral
CGGGUGGUAAUGCCGGAUGCUCCAGUUGAUCGCAUGGUCUUCUGGGAAAGCUUUCGCGGUAUGGGAUGGGGUCGCGUCCUAUCAGCUUGACGGCGGGGUAACGGCCCACCGUGGCUUCGACGGGUAGCCGGCCUGAGAGGGCGACCGGCCACAUUGGGACUGAGAUACGGCCCAGACUCCUACGGGAGGCAGCAGUGGGGAAUAUUGCACAAUGGGCGCAAGCCUGAUGCAGCGACGCCGCGUGAGGGAUGGAGGCCUUCGGGUUGUAAACCUCUUUUAUCGGGGAGCAAGCGAGAGUGAGUUUACCCGUUGAAUAAGCACCGGCUAACUACGUGCCAGCAGCCGCGGUAAUACGUAGGGUGCAAGCGUUAUCCGGAAUUAUUGGGCGUAAAGGGCUCGUAGGCGGUUCGUCGCGUCCGGUGUGAAAGUCCAUCGCUUAACGGUGGAUCCGCGCCGGGUACGGGCGGGCUUGAGUGCGGUAGGGGAGACUGGAAUUCCCGGUGUAACGGUGGAAUGUGUAGAUAUCGGAAAAGAAACACCA